AAAGUCACCUUCGGGUGAUGAGUACAGUGGCGGACGGGUGAGUAGCGCGUGGGUAAUCUACCCCUAGGUCUGGGACAACUCCGGGAAACUGGAGCUAAUACCGGAUAAGACCACGGAGCCUUUGGGCGCAGUGGAAAAAGGUGGCCUCUUCAUGAAAGCUGCCGCCUGUUGAUGAGCCCGCGUCCCAUUAGCUAGUUGGUGAGGUAAAGGCUCACCAAGGCAUCGAUGGGUAGCUGGUCUGAGAGGAUGAUCAGCCACACUGGAACUGAGACACGGUCCAGACUCCUACGGGAGGCAGCAGUCGGGAAUUUUGGGCAAUGGGCGCAAGCCUGACCCAGCAACUCCGCGUGAGGGAUGAAGGCCCUCGGGUCGUAAACCUCUGUCAGGAGGGAAGAACGCCGUGCGGUGAUAAGCCGCACGGUCUGACGGUACCUCCAAAGGAAGUGCCGGCUAACUCCGUG
This 461-nucleotide ribosomal RNA is filed under the name uncultured bacterium. RNAcentral's name for it is "bacterial SSU rRNA". It matches the Rfam family "Bacterial small subunit ribosomal RNA", at positions 70 to 507 of the family's 1533-position model. The record is from RNAcentral.